This 1125-nucleotide ribosomal RNA is filed under the name uncultured bacterium. RNAcentral's name for it is "bacterial SSU rRNA". It matches the Rfam family "Bacterial small subunit ribosomal RNA", at positions 33 to 1167 of the family's 1533-position model. The record is from RNAcentral.
UCGCCGUGGCGGGCAGGCUACACAUGCAAGUCGAGCGCGAAAGCACUUCGGUGUGAGUAAAGCGGCGGACGGGUGAGUAACGCGUAGGAAUCUACCUAGUAGUGGGGGACAACUCGGGGAAACUCGAGCUAAUACCGCAUACGCCCUACGGGGGAAAGCGGGGGACCUUCGGGCCUCGUGCUAUUAGAUGAGCCUGCGUUGGAUUAGCUAGUUGGUGGGGUAAUGGCCUACCAAGGCGACGAUCCAUAGCCGGUCUGAGAGGAUGAUCAGCCACACCGGGACUGAGACACGGCCCGGACUCCUACGGGAGGCAGCAGUGGGGAAUAUUGCGCAAUGGGCGAAAGCCUGACGCAGCCAUGCCGCGUGUGUGAAGAAGGCCUUCGGGUUGUAAAGCACUUUCAAUUGGGAGGAAAGGCUCACGACUAAUACUCGUGAGCUGUGACGUUACCUUUAGAAGAAGCACCGGCUAACUCCGUGCCAGCAGCCGCGGUAAUACGGAGGGUGCGAGCGUUAAUCGGAAUUACUGGGCGUAAAGCGCGCGUAGGUGGUCUGUUAAGUCGGAUGUGAAAGCCCCGGGCUCAACCUGGGAACUGCAUCCGAUACUGGCAGACUAGAGUGCGGGAGAGGGAGGUAGAAUUCCACGUGUAGCGGUGAAAUGCGUAGAUAUGUGGAGGAAUACCAGUGGCGAAGGCGGCCUCCUGGCUCGACACUGACACUGAGGUGCGAAAGCGUGGGUAGCAAACAGGAUUAGAUACCCUGGUAGUCCACGCCGUAAACGAUGUCUACUAGCUGUAGGGGUACUUGAGACCUUUGUAGCGCAGCUAACGCACUAAGUAGACCGCCUGGGGAGUACGGCCGCAAGGUUAAAACUCAAAUGAAUUGACGGGGGCCCGCACAAGCAGUGGAGCAUGUGGUUUAAUUCGAUGCAACGCGAAGAACCUUACCAGCCUUGACAUCCUCGGAACUUCUAGAGAUAGAUUGUGCCUUCGGGAACCGAGUGACAGUGCUGCAUGGCUGUCGUCAGCUCGUGUCGUGAGAUGUGGUUAGUCCCGUACGAGCGCACCCUGUCCUAGUGCAGCACAUUAUGGUGGGAACUCUAAGGAGACUGCCGGUGACAAACCGAGA